GAGAAAUUGGCGCACGCGUACCGCUGACCUCGCUCAUGAACGUCGUUUUGAUUUUCUGGGAACGUUUUGAGUGAGGGGUGCCGUCACGUGCAGCUGGAGGAUGCUCAAGGAGGCUGCACAGAGCGAUCAUCUGCUCACUGAAUAUUUCCUCAAUUGUGAGAUUUUUCUGCAGUGCUUCUGAUACCUUUCCAGUUGCAAGUUCCAGCAGGAGAUUUUCAAAUUGAAACACGAGGUCAUUUCAGAGUUUAGGAGAUCAAACCUGCACACAGUGCAUCAGAUGUGGUUUCAGCAAAACCCUGUACAGAUGCAGUAAAACAUCCCUAUGAUGAUAGCCGA
This is a long non-coding RNA of Rhincodon typus (whale shark), 336 nucleotides long. RefSeq lists it as uncharacterized. The transcript is spliced from 3 exons. Lineage: Eukaryota; Metazoa; Chordata; Chondrichthyes; Orectolobiformes; Rhincodontidae. The record is from RefSeq and is a predicted model, not a curated record.